RNAcentral lists this ribosomal RNA (314 nucleotides) under uncultured fungus. RNAcentral's name for it is "SSU rRNA". It matches the Rfam family "Eukaryotic small subunit ribosomal RNA", at positions 1344 to 1680 of the family's 1831-position model. The record is from RNAcentral. Lineage: Eukaryota; Fungi.
UAACCUGCUAAAUAGCCAGGCUCGCUUUGGCGGGUCGCCGGCUUCUUAGAGGGACUAUCGGCUCAAGCCGAUGGAAGUUUGAGGCAAUAACAGGUCUGUGAUGCCCUUAGAUGUCCUGGGCUGCACGCGCGUUACACUGACAGAGCCAACGAGUUCAUCUCCUUGACCGAGAGGUCUGGGUAAUCUUGUUAAACUCUGUCGUGCUGGGGAUAGAGCAUUGCAAUUAUUGCUCUUCAACGAGGAAUGCCUAGUAAGCGCGUGUCAUCAGCACGCGUUGACUACGUCCCUGCCCUUUGUACACACCGCCCGUCGCU